AGCAGCCGCGGUAAUACGGAGGGUACAAGCGUUAAUCGGAAUUACUGGGCGUAAAGCGCGCGUAGGCGGUUAAGUAAGUUGGAUGUGAAAGCCCUGGGCUCAACCUAGGAACUGCAUUCAAAACUAUUUAACUAGAGUACGAGAGAGGAGAGUAGAAUUUCUGGUGUAGCGGUGAAAUGCGUAGAUAUCAGAAGGAAUACCAAUGGCGAAGGCAGCUCUCUGGAUCGUCACUGACGCUAAGGUGCGAAAGCGUGGGUAGCAAACAGGAUUAGAUACCCUGGUAGUCCACGCCGUAAACGAUGAGAACUAGCCGUUGGGGAGAAUUAACUCUUCAGUGGCGCAGCUAACGCAUUAAGUUCUCCGCCUGGGGACUACGGCCGCAAGGCUAAAACUCAAAUGAAUUGACGGGGGCCCGCACAAGCGGUGGAUCAUGUGGUUUAAUUCGAUGCAACGCGAAGAACCUUACCUACCCUUGAAAUCCAGCGAAGUUCCUAGAGAUAGGAAUGUGCCUUCGGGAACGCUGUGACAGGUGUUGCAUGGCUGUCGUCAGCUCGUGUCGUGAGAUGUAUGGUUAAGUCCAGUAACGAGCGCAACCCCUAUCCUUAUUUGCCAGCGCAUAAUGGCGGGAACUAUAAGGAGACUGCCGGUCAUAAACCGGAGGAAGGCGGGGACGACGUCAAGUCAUCAUGGCCCUUAUGGGUAGGGCUACACACGUGAUACAAUGGGUGGUACAGAGGGUCGCCAAAGCGCGAGCUGGAGCCAAACCCUUAAAACCAUUCUUAGUCCGGAUUGGAGUCUGCAACUCGACUCCAUGAAGUUGGAAUCGCUAGUAAUCGCGAAUCAGAAUGUCGCGGUGAAUACGUUCUCGGGCCUUGUACACACCGCCCG
RNAcentral lists this ribosomal RNA (888 nucleotides) under uncultured bacterium. Its description in RNAcentral is "bacterial SSU rRNA". It matches the Rfam family "Bacterial small subunit ribosomal RNA", at positions 510 to 1396 of the family's 1533-position model. The record is from RNAcentral.